Molecule: ribosomal RNA, 440 nt
Filed under: uncultured bacterium
Lineage: Bacteria
Description: partial 16S ribosomal RNA
Rfam family: Bacterial small subunit ribosomal RNA
Source: RNAcentral
CCUACGGGAGGCAGCAGUAGGGAAUAUUGCUCAAUGGGGGAAACCCUGAUGCAGCAACGCCGCGUGGAGGAUGAAGGUUUUAGGAUUGUAAACUCCUUUUGUUAGAGAAGAUUAUGACGUUAUCUAACGAAUAGGCACCGGCUAACUCCGUGCCAGCAGCCGCGGUAAUACGGAGGGUGCAAGCGUUACUCGGAAUCACUGGGCGUAAAGAGUGCGUAGGCGGGGUAAUAAGUCAGAUGUGAAAGCCUGUGGCUUAACUACAGAACUGCAUUUGACACUGUUACUCUGGAGUGUGGGAGAGGUAGGUGGAAUUCUUGGUGUAGGGGUAAAAUCCGUAGAGAUUAAGAGGAAUACUCAUUGCGAAGGCGACCUGCUGGAACAUUACUGACGCUGAUGCACGAAAGCGUGGGGAGCAAACAGGAUUAGAUACCCCUGUAGUC